This 602-nucleotide ribosomal RNA is filed under the name Streptomyces sp. YIM M 11216. RNAcentral describes it as "bacterial SSU rRNA". It matches the Rfam family "Bacterial small subunit ribosomal RNA", at positions 69 to 685 of the family's 1533-position model. Lineage: Bacteria; Bacillati; Actinomycetota; Actinomycetes; Kitasatosporales; Streptomycetaceae. The record is from RNAcentral.
AUGAAGCCCUUUCGGGGGUGGAUUAGUGGCGAACGGGUGAGUAACACGUGGGCAAUCUGCCCUGCACUUCGGGACAAGCCCUGGAAACGGGGUCUAAUACCGGAUAUGACCAUCGGGCGCAUGCUCUGGUGGUGGAAAGCUUCGGCGGUGCAGGAUGAGCCCGCGGCCUAUCAGCUUGUUGGUGGGGUGAUGGCCUACCAAGGCGACGACGGGUAGCCGGCCUGAGAGGGCGACCGGCCACACUGGGACUGAGACACGGCCCAGACUCCUACGGGAGGCAGCAGUGGGGAAUAUUGCACAAUGGGCGGAAGCCUGAUGCAGCGACGCCGCGUGAGGGAUGACGGCCUUCGGGUUGUAAACCUCUUUCAGCAGGGAAGAAGCUUUUGUGACGGUACCUGCAGAAGAAGCACCGGCUAACUACGUGCCAGCAGCCGCGGUAAUACGUAGGGUGCGAGCGUUGUCCGGAAUUAUUGGGCGUAAAGAGCUCGUAGGCGGCCUGUCGCGUCGGAUGUGAAAGCCCGGGGCUUAACCCUGGGUCUGCAUUCGAUACGGGCAGGCUCGAGUUCGGUAGGGGAGAUCGGAAUUCCUGGUGUAGCGGUGAA